GGGGAUCUAGAGUUUGUGGGCUUUGCCCACUGUCUCUUACCCAUGUCUUUUGAGUACUUACGUUUCCUCGGUGGGCUCGCCCGCCGGUUGGACAAUUUAAACCAUUUGCAGUUGCAAUCAGCGUCUGAAAAACAUAAUAGUUACAACUUUCAACAACGGAUCUCUUGGUUCUGGCAUCGAUGAAGAACGCAGCGAAAUGCGAUAAGUAGUGUGAAUUGCAGAAUUCAGUGAAUCAUCGAAUCUUUGAACGCACAUUGCGCCCCUUGGUAUUCCAUGGGGCAUGCCUGUUCGAGCGUCAUUUGUACCUUCAAGCUCUGCUUGGUGUUGGGUGUUUGUCUCGCCUUGCGCGUAGACUCGCCUUAAAACAAUUGGCAGCCGGCGUAUUGAUUUCGGAGCGCAGUACAUCUCGCGCUUUGCACUCAUAACGACGACGUCCAAAAGUACUUUUUACACUCUUGACCUCGGAUCAGGUAGGGAUACCCGCUGAACUUAAGCAUAUCAAAGCGCGGAGGA
RNAcentral lists this ribosomal RNA (513 nucleotides) under Podospora sp. SF7. Its description in RNAcentral is "eukaryotic LSU rRNA". The stretch from base 145 to 298 matches the Rfam family "5.8S ribosomal RNA". The record is from RNAcentral. Lineage: Eukaryota; Fungi; Ascomycota; Sordariomycetes; Sordariales; Podosporaceae.